AGGCGGAUAGCUCAGUGGCAGAGCACCCCGACCACAUCGGGGAGGCCGCAGCGUUCGAUUCCUGCUCCGCCUACCA
Molecule: transfer RNA, 76 nt
Filed under: Nitrospirae bacterium CG2_30_70_394
Lineage: Bacteria; Pseudomonadati; Nitrospirota
Also listed under: 7 other names
Description: tRNA-Val
Rfam family: tRNA
About the family: Transfer RNA (tRNA) molecules are approximately 80 nucleotides in length.
Source: RNAcentral